GCAAGGCUGAUCUCGGGCCACCCGCGGGGCGGGCGACGAUAUCGUCCUAGUGGGCAGGCUGGCUGGCUGGCGUGUCGGGUUUCGGGGAGUAUGGCGGGGAACCGGAGUAGAGGGAUGUGAGCUUUUGAAAGCAGAAUGCCUUUGCUUCCAUGAUCUGAUCAGAGAUUAUGAAGAUACAGUUCCUCCCUUUGGUUUGCAUACAGUUAAGUGGAGCAGAUACAGGUCAAUGGUCAGUGUGCCACUUAAGUAUUCAAGAAGAGAUAUAUCAGCAGGUUGCAGCUGAACAUGGCCUUGAGGUAAAUCCUGCCCCUGUUGAAAUUUGAUUUCAGCAGAUUAUUCAUGGUAAUUUAGGAACUGGAAUAUUUUACAGAAAAAAAAAAGUUUCAUUUGGUUCUGUUCUAGACUUAUUUUUUCUUCUCCUAGAAGAACCAUGUUUAAACAAAACUUCACUAUGCUGAAGGACUGUGAUGCUUUAAGUUGGUCAUCUGCCUCAUUUUAAAGUAAGUGAAUUUUAUAUGUCAACACAAAUUCUAGAUGUUUUUUUUUCUUGAUCAAUAAAACUUGUACUCAAACCUUA
This is a long non-coding RNA of Leopardus geoffroyi (Geoffroy's cat), 577 nucleotides long. RefSeq lists it as uncharacterized. The record is from RefSeq and is a predicted model, not a curated record. The transcript is spliced from 3 exons. Lineage: Eukaryota; Metazoa; Chordata; Mammalia; Carnivora; Felidae.